AUUGAACCACAUCUCCACCGGGUCCUGCAACUACAGGUCAGCCAGAGUCCCUGUGCCGGUGAUGUGGCCGUGUUGGCACCUGUCUUCGCUCCAGGAGGACACACAGGGGUGAUUCUCAGUGUCACCAGAUCUGCCUUCACCGCUCAGGGACGAUGGUUCAACGCCACAAGAUCACUAUGUAGCUUGAUCAAUGAAGUGUGUGUGUCUGGCUGUGCGGGGAUCUCCAUCGUGGACCUGAAGCUGACCAACUGUCACCUGUUCCUGCUGACCAACCGGGGGCUCUUCAUCAGCCAGGAUCUCCUUUCCCCUGUCACAGG
Long non-coding RNA from Oncorhynchus gorbuscha (pink salmon), 317 nucleotides. RefSeq lists it as uncharacterized. Lineage: Eukaryota; Metazoa; Chordata; Actinopteri; Salmoniformes; Salmonidae. The record is from RefSeq and is a predicted model, not a curated record. The transcript has 3 exons.